GCUUAUCAGCCAGGACCGCGGUGUAAAGUUUUGCGAUCGUGUUGCCCAGCGUGAUAGGC
RNAcentral lists this microRNA precursor (59 nucleotides) under Cordylochernes scorpioides. The record is from RNAcentral. Lineage: Eukaryota; Metazoa; Arthropoda; Arachnida; Pseudoscorpiones; Chernetidae.